GCAAGAGGACCGAGAGAUCGCCGCUCUGGAGGAGGAGGCCGAGGCUUCCGACGAGGAGGCUCUGCUGGUCGCCGCCGAGGCCCCGCCGGCUGCGUCGCCUCCGAGAGGCCAUGCCCGUGAUGUCCAUAUCCUGAGUUGUGGGUUCCUGCUCAUCUUCUCGGCCUACGGUGCUGCUCAGAAUCUCGACAGCACCGUGAACAACCGGAUAAUUUGGGCACGACAGGCAACGCAAGUAAAGAAGAAAGGCAGACAGGCAACGCAACAAAGAGAUAUAGAAUCUACAGUAGAGAACAUUAGUGAUUUGGAGGAUGAUCAAAGCCAUCGUGCGGGGAAGUCGCUUUUGCACUCAGUGAAGUGGGAGCGCAUUAUUUUGGAUGAGGCUCACUUUGUCAAAGAUAGGCGAUGUAAUACUGCAAAAGCAGUUCUCGAACUGGAGUCUUCAUACAGAUGGGCUUUAAGUGGAACACCUCUUCAAAAUCGUGUUGGGGAGCUCUAUUCUCUUGUAAGUUUCUAUUUUAUACGAGUGGUUAAUUGUUAUUCACCUUCUGUAGUCAAUCACA
This is a long non-coding RNA of Syzygium oleosum, 560 nucleotides long. RefSeq lists it as uncharacterized. Lineage: Eukaryota; Viridiplantae; Streptophyta; Magnoliopsida; Myrtales; Myrtaceae. The record is from RefSeq and is a predicted model, not a curated record. The transcript has 3 exons.